This 398-nucleotide ribosomal RNA is filed under the name uncultured bacterium. RNAcentral describes it as "bacterial SSU rRNA". It matches the Rfam family "Bacterial small subunit ribosomal RNA", at positions 28 to 429 of the family's 1533-position model. The record is from RNAcentral.
AUUGAACGCUGGCGGCAUGCUUUACACAUGCAAGUCGAGCGGCAGCGCGGGGGCAACCCUGGCGGCGAGCGGCGAACGGGUGAGUAAUGCAUCGGAACGUACCCUGGAGUGGGGGAUAACGCCGCGAAAGCGGCGCUAAUACCGCAUAUGCUCUGAGGAGGAAAGUGGGGGACCGCAAGGCCUCACGCUCUGGGAGCGGCCGAUGUCCGAUUAGCUAGUUGGUGGGGUAAAGCUUACCAAGGCGACGAUCGGUAGCUGGUCUGAGAGGAUGAUCAGCCACACUGGGACUGAGACACGGCCCAGACUCCUACGGGAGGCAGCAGUGGGGAAUUUUGGACAAUGGGGGCAACCCUGAUCCAGCCAUGCCGCGUGAGUGAAGAAGGCCUUCGGGUUGUAAA